RNAcentral lists this ribosomal RNA (392 nucleotides) under uncultured bacterium. RNAcentral's name for it is "bacterial SSU rRNA". It matches the Rfam family "Bacterial small subunit ribosomal RNA", at positions 369 to 758 of the family's 1533-position model. The record is from RNAcentral.
CGAGGGGGAACCCCUGCUCAGCAACGCCGCGUGAGCGAAGAAGGCCUUCGGGUCGAAAGCUCCCCCGUAGGGAAGAAACACCGGCCCCAACACAGUCCGGGAACGACGGUACCUGAAGAAUAAGCACCGGCCAACCACGCGCCAGCAGCCGCGGUAAUACGCAGGGUGCAAGCGCUAAUCGGAACCACUGGGCGUAAAGCGUGCGCAGGCGGUUAUACAAGACAGGCGUGAAAUCCCCGGGCUUAACCUGGGAAUGGCGCCUGUGACUGUAUAGCUAGAGUGUGUCAGAGGGGGGUAGAAUCCCACGUGUAGCAGUGAAAUGCGUAGAUAUGUGGAGGAAUACCAAUGGCGAAGGCAGCCCCCUGGGAUAACACUGACGCUCAUGCACGAAA